CGAAAAGUCAGGUUACAAUGGUUACAUAUAUGGAGAAUCAGGGUUACAAUGGUUACAUACAUGGAGAAUCAGGUUACAAUGGUUACAUACAUGGAGAAUCAGGGUUACAAUGGUUACAUACAUGGAGAAUCAGGGUUACAAUGGUUACAUGCAUGGGAAAGUCGGGUUACAAUGGUUACAUACAUGGAGAAUGAGGUUACAAUGGUUACAGGCAUGGGAAAGUCAGGUUACAAUGGUUACAUACAUGGAGAAUCAGGGUUAUAAUGGUUACAUACAUGGGGAAUCUAGUUACAAUGGUUACAUGCAUGGAAAAUCAGGUUACAAUGGUUACAUGCAUGGAAAAGUCAGGUUACAAUGGUUACAUAUAUGGAGAAUCAGGGUUACAAUGGUUACAUACAUGGAGAAUCAGGUUACAAUGGUUACAUACAUGGAGAAUCAGGGUUAGAAUGGUUACAUACAUAGGGAAUCUAGUUACAAUGGUUACAUACAUGGAGAAUCAGGGUUACAAUGGUUACAGGCAUGGGAAAUCAGG
Mytilus californianus (California mussel) is the source of this 532-nucleotide long non-coding RNA. RefSeq lists it as uncharacterized. The record is from RefSeq and is a predicted model, not a curated record. Lineage: Eukaryota; Metazoa; Mollusca; Bivalvia; Mytilida; Mytilidae. The transcript is spliced from 3 exons.